GGCUGCCGGGAGGGGCUCAUUGUUCUGCCGGCCGCUUUGACUUCAUUUUCUGCUUUUCAUCCCAGGCCGGGAAGGUUUAGAAUGCAAAUGCGGGCUGCUUUUGUAGCUGUGCGUUUGUCUGGGAGCCGUGCGUUUGUCUGGGGUGAGAUCACAGCAAAAGGGUUUUGUUUGGCUUUUUAAAUUCUUCUGGGGAGAGCAAAAGAAGCUGGAGGAGUGCUGGGCGCAGAAGACCUCCCGGGCGGGGAGGCGGGGCAGGCAUGGGCCCAAUGGGAGCAGCCGUCGGCUUCUGCAGGCCUGGUUUGGAAAGGAACCGGGUCAGAAGGGUGCUGAACAUUAACUCCUUGUGGGCCUGGCGUUUGGGGAGUUGGGGGUUUCCAAGCUGCUCACCCCAGAACAUGCAGUCCACUAAUACUGUAUUUCUUGCUUCCUUUGUGCCACACCCUGGGGACAUUUCCAAAGAGAAAGGUGACGUCCAGCCCUUUCACGUGACUGCAUCUAAGUGUCCUCUGCCAGAAGUGGAUAUUCGGGCACUUCAUCCUCACGACCCUGUGUUACCCAAGUGACCACCUGGUAAUUACUUCAACAGCAGAGCGACUCAUACAGCCAGCAGUCCACUUUGUUCUUCUAUAGAUCCUGCCUGUGGUGUUGGAUCUAACAGCUUCUUCCCUGACCCAAGAUUAUGAAGGAUUUCUCCUGUGUUCUCUUCUAAAAAUUUUAUAUUUAGGUAUAUAAUCCAUUUUGAGCUAAUUCUUUUAAAUAGUGCAAAGUAUGGAUUGAAGUUCUUUUUUUUUUUUUUUUGCAGAUACAUAUUUAAUUUUUCCAGCACCAUUUGUUGAAAAGACUAAUGUUCUUGCCUGAAUAGCCUUUGCAUUGUUGUUGAAAAUCAUGUUCACACAUGUACACAUUCCACUGAUCUAUUUGCCUCUUUGUGAAAAUACUACUAUUUUGAUUAAUAUAGAUUUAUAGGGAGUCUUAAAA
RNAcentral lists this long non-coding RNA (978 nucleotides) under Pan troglodytes (chimpanzee). RNAcentral's name for it is "lincRNA". The record is from RNAcentral. Lineage: Eukaryota; Metazoa; Chordata; Mammalia; Primates; Hominidae.